RNAcentral lists this transfer RNA (70 nucleotides) under Anolis christophei. Its description in RNAcentral is "tRNA-Trp". Lineage: Eukaryota; Metazoa; Chordata; Lepidosauria; Squamata; Anolidae. The record is from RNAcentral.
UAAAGACUUAGGAUAACAUAAACCAAGAGCCUUCAAAGCUCAAAAUAUGGGAGAAACCCCCCUAGUUUUU